CUACCAGGCCGGGCCCCUCUGGCAGUCCAUCAGGACUGCGAUGUCGGACUGGAAUU
RNAcentral lists this non-coding RNA (56 nucleotides) under Mesorhizobium ventifaucium. RNAcentral's name for it is "terC". It matches the Rfam family "terC RNA". The record is from RNAcentral. Lineage: Bacteria; Pseudomonadati; Pseudomonadota; Alphaproteobacteria; Hyphomicrobiales; Phyllobacteriaceae.